Molecule: ribosomal RNA, 156 nt
Filed under: Pteris vittata (Chinese brake)
Lineage: Eukaryota; Viridiplantae; Streptophyta; Polypodiopsida; Polypodiales; Pteridaceae
Description: 5.8S ribosomal RNA
Rfam family: 5.8S ribosomal RNA
About the family: 5.8S ribosomal RNA (5.8S rRNA) is a component of the large subunit of the eukaryotic ribosome.
Source: RNAcentral
AAAACUUUCAACAACGGAUCUCUUGGUUCUGGCAUCGAUGAAGAACGCAGCGAAAUGCGAUAAGUAAUGUGAAUUGCAGAAUUCAGUGAAUCAUCGAAUCUUUGAACGCACAUUGCGCCCCUUGGUAUUCCGAGGGGCAUGCCUGUUCGAGCGUCA